UACGGGGGGAGCAAGCGUUGUUCGGAAUUACUGGGCGUAAAGGGCGCGUAGGCGGCCAUCUAAGUCAGACGUGAAAUCCCCCGGCUUAACCUGGGAACUGCGUCUGAUACUGGACGGCUUGAGUAUGGGAGAGGGAUGUAGAAUUCCAGGUGUAGCGGUGAAAUGCGUAGAUAUCUGGAGGAAUACCGGUGGCGAAGGCGGCAUCCUGGACCAUUACUGACGCUGAGGCGCGAAAGCUAGGGGAGCAAACGGG
RNAcentral lists this ribosomal RNA (253 nucleotides) under uncultured bacterium. RNAcentral's name for it is "partial 16S ribosomal RNA". It matches the Rfam family "Bacterial small subunit ribosomal RNA", at positions 524 to 776 of the family's 1533-position model. The record is from RNAcentral.